ACCAGAAAUACCGUGGACAACAGGGCAACUAUCCCAUCAAGUUGUUCUACACGUCCAACAUGCCCAUCAUCCUCCAGACGGCACUUGUUUCCAAUCUUUA
RNAcentral lists this non-coding RNA (100 nucleotides) under Astrosyne radiata. The record is from RNAcentral. Lineage: Eukaryota; Bacillariophyta; Fragilariophyceae; Cyclophorales; Cyclophoraceae.